GAUGAACGCUGGCGGCGUGCUUAACACAUGCAAGUCGAACGGAAAGGCUCCUGCUUGCAGGGGUACUCGAGUGGCGAACGGGUGAGUAACACGUGGGUGAUCUGCCCUGCACUUCGGGAUAAGCCUGGGAAACUGGGUCUAAUACCGGAUAGGACGAUGGUUUGGAUGCCAUUGUGGAAAGUUUUUCGGUGUGGGAUGAGCUCGCGGCCUAUCAGCUUGUUGGUGGGGUAAUGGCCUACCAAGGCGUCGACGGGUAGCCGGCCUGAGAGGGUGUACGGCCACAUUGGGACUGAGAUACGGCCCAGACUCCUACGGGAGGCAGCAGUGGGGAAUAUUGCACAAUGGACGCAAGCCUGAUGCAGCGACGCCGCGUGGGGGAUGACGGCCUUCGGGUUGUAAACUCCUUUCGCUAGGGACGAAGCGCAAGUGACGGUACCUGGAGAAGAAGCACCGGCUAACUACGUG
This 465-nucleotide ribosomal RNA is filed under the name uncultured bacterium. Its description in RNAcentral is "partial 16S ribosomal RNA". It matches the Rfam family "Bacterial small subunit ribosomal RNA", at positions 28 to 507 of the family's 1533-position model. The record is from RNAcentral.